Small nucleolar RNA from Drosophila melanogaster (fruit fly), 69 nucleotides. NCBI's taxonomy places the organism in Eukaryota, Metazoa, Arthropoda, Insecta, Diptera, Drosophilidae. The record is from Ensembl.
UAAUAUGAUGUUGUUAUUUUUCGUCUCUGUCAUUUAUGAUGAAAGCUAAAGUGCUGAAAUUCAUUUGUU